CUGCUGCCUCCCGUAGGAGUUUGGACCGUGUCUCAGUUCCAAUGUGGGGGACCUUCCUCUCAGAACCCCCUACGCAUCGUCGGCUUGGUGGGCCGUUGCCCCACCAACUACCUAAUGCGCCGCAUGCCCAUCCGUGACCGGGGUCGCCCCCUUUGGCCGGCAGGGGAUGUCCCCUCCCGGCAUUAUGUUGUAUUAGGCGGGAUUUCUCCCGGUUAUCCAUCUGUCACGGCCAGGUUGCAUACGUGUUACUCACCCGUGCGCCGGUCGCCGGCGG
Molecule: ribosomal RNA, 274 nt
Filed under: uncultured bacterium
Lineage: Bacteria
Description: partial 16S ribosomal RNA
Source: RNAcentral